This is a long non-coding RNA of Gymnogyps californianus (California condor), 491 nucleotides long. RefSeq lists it as uncharacterized. The record is from RefSeq and is a predicted model, not a curated record. The transcript has 5 exons. NCBI's taxonomy places the organism in Eukaryota, Metazoa, Chordata, Aves, Accipitriformes, Cathartidae.
CAGCUUCUGCAUAACUUCAUCUCACUCGACACGCAGCCUUUUGAAGGACCAGAUUUACUUCCUUGCUGGCAUCCGCUGUGGCAGCAGCAGCAAUGGGGAAGGCAAAAUUAUCAUCAUCCACCAAUGACUCUUCAGUGGAAGGUGCAGGCUGGAGUCUCCCGGCAAGUGGCUUCCGGAAGGCCUCACAGUACCGAUUCUGGGUUGAACAAUGUGCUCCAGCAAGCAGCAUCCCACUGCGGGCAUGUCUGGAGUGAAAAGCCUUACCUAGAUUUUUCCCAUUCAUUGUGAUUGAUCUACCUGAAGUGGAUGAACUGAAGAGUCAAGGAAUUUGAACAGCACGAAUGUGUCCCUUCUCAUUGCCUUUACCCAGGGAUGAGUGACAGUAAGGCUACUACUUUGUGAUUCUGCUAUUUUAACAGCCUGAGAAGUCAGCUGUGCCCUGGGGUGGUGGCGAAGGGAGCGCAGCAGCUGACCUCUGGACGUGUGCAAGG